Molecule: unclassified non-coding RNA, 826 nt
Filed under: Athalia rosae (coleseed sawfly)
Lineage: Eukaryota; Metazoa; Arthropoda; Insecta; Hymenoptera; Athaliidae
Description: misc RNA ENSAEAG00005012878.1
Source: RNAcentral
UACAAUAAAUACGUAGAUAAACGGUACGUAUACAUCUGCUAUUAUAAUAAUUAGAUGAUUCAUGAACGAUACAAUUAUUUUUCGGUAUACAGCCGUGUGAGACGAGAGGCUCUAUGAUUUUAUUUUCCUAAGCUAGUUAUACUUUCCACAACGUACCCUACACAGCCACGAGUUUAUUGACUCACGUGUGUCUCGUUAAUAACCGUUUGUUAAUUGGAGGAAUUUGUUUGCGUAUUAUGGCAAAGUAGAGGUACGUAUACACGGACCGUAUGUAGUGUAACGACGUUCGAGAAUUGAGAAUGGCUUCUCAAAACUCCGAUGGAAAUAGCCGGCGAGAAGAAAUAAAGGCGCUGGUGCAGGGGAUUCAAUCGCGCGAAGAGAGAUUAAAAUCUCGGCACAGACGCCCCGAGAUUUCGAGAGCUUGCAGGCGAGGGUUCGCGCUAUGGAAAUUAUUGAAAUAUACAAUCGAUUUGUUCAUAAAAGCUGCGCACGUGCGGUGAAAAAAUUAACGCACGAGAAAUUAUGAAAAGUACUUAUUGAAUUUUAAUGCAAUUCAUUAGUUUAUUGUACAGCGAUGGUUCCGGGAGUCGGUCUACACGUGGUACCGAACAAUGUUAUUUAUUUAAUUUUAUUUUCCAUUUUCUCGAACUCAUUCUUAAACGGAAUUUUCGCGUAAACGAAAAUUACUAAUCGGAUACAGGUCGGACGUUAAAACUGGAAUGAAUGUUGACGUGGUAAUUUAAAAAAUGAAACCACCAUAUCCCUGUUACGGUUACGGAUGGACGCUUCGCGAGACUGUAAUUGUCAAUGAGGUCAGUUUCCGGUC